UGCUAUGGCUGAAUUAGUGAUUGGCCAUAGUGUUUGUUACCGCGAACGAUCACAUUCGCAAUUUUAGUUGGAGUCGACAAUGUCACUAACAGCAGAACAGAAAGCACAAGUAGUCAAAGAUUACGCGCAAGGCGAA
Idiomarinaceae bacterium HL-53 is the source of this 136-nucleotide non-coding RNA. The record is from Rfam. NCBI's taxonomy places the organism in Bacteria, Pseudomonadati, Pseudomonadota, Gammaproteobacteria, Alteromonadales, Idiomarinaceae.